GAUGAACGCUGGCGGCGUGCCUAAUACAUGCAAGUCGAACGCACAGCGAAAGGUGCUUGCACCUUUCAAGUGAGUGGCGAACGGGUGAGUAACACGUGGACAACCUGCCUCAAGGCUGGGGAUAACAUUUGGAAACAGAUGCUAAUACCGAAUAAAACUCAGUGUCGCAUGACACAAAGUUAAAAGGCGCUUUGGCGUCACCUAGAGAUGGAUCCGCGGUGCAUUAGUUAGUUGGUGGGGUAAAGGCCUACCAAGACAAUGAUGCAUAGCCGAGUUGAGAGACUGAUCGGCCACAUUGGGACUGAGACACGGCCCAAACUCCUACGGGAGGCUGCAGUAGGGAAUCUUCCACAAUGGGCGAAAGCCUGAUGGAGCAACGCCGCGUGUGUGAUGAAGGCUUUCGGGUCGUAAAGCACUGUUGUAUGGGAAGAACAGCUAGAAUAGGGAAUGAUUUUAGUUUGACGGUACCAUACCAGAAAGGGACGGCUAAAUACGUGCCAGCAGCCGCCGCGG
RNAcentral lists this ribosomal RNA (513 nucleotides) under uncultured bacterium. Its description in RNAcentral is "partial 16S ribosomal RNA". It matches the Rfam family "Bacterial small subunit ribosomal RNA", at positions 28 to 523 of the family's 1533-position model. The record is from RNAcentral.